UACGGAGGGUGCAAGCGUUAAUCGGAAUUACUGGGCGUAAAGCGUGCGUAGACGGUAGCGUAAGUCGGGUGUGAAAGCCCCGGGCUCAACCUGGGAAUUGCAUUCGAGACUGCUCUGCUAGGGUGCGGAAGAGGGAAGCGGAAUUUCCGGUGUAGCGGUGAAAUGCGUAGAUAUCGGAAGGAACACCAGUGGCGAAAGCGGCUUCCUGGUCCAGCACCGACGUUCAGGCACGAAAGCGUGGGGAGCAAACAGG
Molecule: ribosomal RNA, 253 nt
Filed under: uncultured bacterium
Lineage: Bacteria
Description: partial 16S ribosomal RNA
Rfam family: Bacterial small subunit ribosomal RNA
Source: RNAcentral